GAUGAACGCUGGCGGCGUGCCUAACACAUGCAAGUCGAACGAAGCACCUUACCUGAUUCUUCGGAUGAAAGUUUGGUGACUGAGUGGCGGACGGGUGAGUAACGCGUGGGUAACCUGCCCUGUACAGGGGGAUAACAGCUGGAAACGGCUGCUAAUACCGCAUAAGCGCACGAGGAGACAUCUCCUUGUGUGAAAAACUCCGGUGGUACAGGAUGGGCCCGCGUCUGAUUAGCUGGUUGGCAGGGUAACCGCCUACCAAGGCAACGAUCCGGAGCCGGGCGGAGAGGGAUAACCGGCCCCUUGGGAAUGGGGACCGGUUCAAACUGCUACGGGAAGCCGGAAGGGGGAAAAUUUGCCAAGGGGGGAAACCCCGAAGCAGCCACCGCGGGGGAGGGAAGAAGUAUUUUGGUAAGGAAAGCUCUAAUAACAAGGAAGAUUAUGACGGUACCCGACUAAGAAGCCCCGGCUAAAUACGUG
Molecule: ribosomal RNA, 477 nt
Filed under: uncultured bacterium
Lineage: Bacteria
Description: partial 16S ribosomal RNA
Rfam family: Bacterial small subunit ribosomal RNA
Source: RNAcentral